RNAcentral lists this ribosomal RNA (1573 nucleotides) under Parvocalanus crassirostris. RNAcentral describes it as "SSU rRNA". It matches the Rfam family "Eukaryotic small subunit ribosomal RNA", at positions 95 to 1699 of the family's 1831-position model. The record is from RNAcentral. Lineage: Eukaryota; Metazoa; Arthropoda; Copepoda; Calanoida; Paracalanidae.
GGCUCAUUAAAUCACACCUAAUCUACCGGAAAGUAACCAGUUACUUGGAUAACUGCGGUAAUUCUGGAGCUAAUACAUGCAACAAGCCCCGACUCACGGAGGGGCGCUUUUAUUAGAUCAAAACCAAACGGCUUCGGCUGUCUCUUGGUGACUCUGAAUAACUUUGGGCUGAUCGCAUGGCCUUGCGCCGGCGACAUUUCCGUCGAAGGUGUGCCCUAUCAACUGUCGACUGUGGCAUAGACGCCCACAGUGGUUUUGACGGGUAACGGGGAAUCAGGGUUCGAUUCCGGAGAGGGAGCCUUAAAAACGGCUACCACAUCUAAGGAAGGCAGCAGGCACGCAAAUUACCCAAUGACCGAAGGUCGAGGUAGUGACGAAAAAUAACGAUAGCGGACUCAUCCGAGGCCCGCUAAUUGGAAUGAGUACACUUUAAAACCGUCCCCGAGGAUCUAUUGGAGGGCAAGUCUGGUGCCAGCAGCCGCGGUAAUUCCAGCUCCAAUAGCGUAUAUUAAAGUUGUUGUGGUUAAAAAGCUCGUAGUUGGAUCUCAACAGCGUGGUGGCGGUCGCUUGCCGUUNNACUGCUGUCUUGCGCUGCUUUUGCUGGAGGGUGGCAGGUGCUCUUAAUCGGGUGUCUGUUGUCGCCAGCAGGUUUACUUUGAAAAAAUUAGAGUGCUCAAAGCAGGCUGUUACGCCUGAAUAUUCGUGCAUGGAAUAAUAGAAUAGGACGUCGAUCCUAUUUUGUUGGUUUUCGGGACUCGACGUAAUGAUUAAUAGGGACAGUCGGGGGCAUUUGUAUUCAAACGACAGAGGUGAAAUUCUUGGACCGUUUGAAGACAAACUACUGCGAAAGCAUUUGCCAAGAAUGUUUUCAUUAAUCAAGAACGAAAGUUAGAGGUUCGAAGGCGAUUAGAUACCGCCCUAGUUCUAACCAUAAACGAUGCCAGCUAGCGAUCUGCCGGCGUUUUCAUUGUAGACUCGGCAGGAAGCUUCCGGGAAACCAAAGCAUUUGGGUUCCAGGGGAAGUAUGGUUGCAAAGCUGAAACUUAAAGGAAUUGACGGAAGGGCACCACCAGGAGUGGAGCCUGUGGCUUAAUUUGACUCAACACGGGAAAUCUCACCAGGCCCGGACACUGGAAGGAUUGACAGAUUGAUAGCUCUUUCUUGAUUCGGUGGGUGGUGGUGCAUGGCCGUUCUUAGUUGGUGGAGUGAUUUGUCUGGUUAAUUCCGAUAACGAACGAGACUCUGUCCUGCUAACUAGUCGUGGUGUCUCUUGUGUUGCGCCAAUUCUUCUUAGAGGGACUGGCGACUCUUAGUCGCACGAGAUUGAGCAAUAACAGGUCUGUGAUGCCCUUAGAUGUUCUGGGCCGCACACGCGCUACACUGAAUAGAUCAGCGUGUCUCCCUCCCCGACAGGGGCGGGUAAACCGCUGAACCCUAUUCGUGGUAGGGAUCGGGGCUUGCAAUUGUUCCCCGUGAACCAGGAAUUCCCAGUAGGCGCAAGUCAUAAGCUUGCGUCGAUUACGUCCCUGCCCUUUGUACACACCGCCCGUCGCUACUACCGAUUGAAUGUUUU